CAGUAGCCACGGUAAUACGUAGGUGGCAAGCGUUGUCCGGAAUUAUUGGGCGCAAAGGGCUCGCAGGCGGUUUCUUAAGUCUGAUGUGAAAGCCCCCGGCUCAACCGGGGAGGGUCAUUGGAAACUGGGAAACUUGAGUGCAGAAGAGGAGAGUGGAAUUCCACGUGUAGCGGUGAAAUGCGUAGAGAUGUGGAGGAACACCAGUGGCGAAGGCGACUCUCUGGUCUGUAACUGACGCUGAGGAGCGAAAGCGUGGGGAGCGAACAGGAUUAGAUACCCCUGUAGUCCCUGUCUCUUAUAA
Molecule: ribosomal RNA, 301 nt
Filed under: uncultured bacterium
Lineage: Bacteria
Description: partial 16S ribosomal RNA
Rfam family: Bacterial small subunit ribosomal RNA
Source: RNAcentral